This 297-nucleotide unclassified non-coding RNA is filed under the name uncultured fungus. Its description in RNAcentral is "partial contains small subunit ribosomal RNA, internal transcribed spacer 1, and 5.8S ribosomal RNA". The stretch from base 1 to 73 matches the Rfam family "Eukaryotic small subunit ribosomal RNA", at positions 1759 to 1831 of the family's 1831-position model. Lineage: Eukaryota; Fungi. The record is from RNAcentral.
ACAAACUUGGUCAUUUAGAGGAAGUAAAAGUCGUAACAAGGUCUCCGUUGGUGAACCAGCGGAGGGAUCAUUACUGAGUGUAAAAACUCCCAGACCCAAUGUGAACAUACCACUGUUGCUUCGGCGGACCCGCCCCGGGCGCACCCCUCUACAGGGCGUGUGCCCCGGACUCAGGCGCCCGCCGGGGGACCUAAACUCUCUGUAUUCUAACGAGUAUCUCUGAGUCUGAUUUAUACAAAUCAAAUCAAAACUUUCAACAACGGAUCUCUUGGCUCUAGCAUCGAUGAAGAACGCAGC